Molecule: long non-coding RNA, 205 nt
Organism: Suricata suricatta (meerkat)
Lineage: Eukaryota; Metazoa; Chordata; Mammalia; Carnivora; Herpestidae
Exons: 3
Source: RefSeq, a predicted model, not a curated record
AGUCCCCUGUUGUGUGUUGCAGGCAAUGGGGUGGUCGUCCACUUACCCGGCUUGUUUGAAGAGGCAGAAAAGAAUGAGAAGAAAGGUCUGAAGGACUGGGAGAAGAGGCUCAUCAUCUCUGACCGCGCCCACCUGGUGUUCGACUUUCAUCAGGCGGUCGACGGGCUGCAGGAAGUGCAACGCCAAGCCCAGGAGGGGAAGAAGU